This 279-nucleotide long non-coding RNA is filed under the name Medicago truncatula (barrel medic). RNAcentral's name for it is "lncRNA gene30399". Lineage: Eukaryota; Viridiplantae; Streptophyta; Magnoliopsida; Fabales; Fabaceae. The record is from RNAcentral.
UGUAAUCAAUGCAUUACCAAUCGAAACAUUUACAUUUUUUAAAAAAUAAUUGCUAAUUUUAAAAUGUUUACAGAAUGUUCGGGGUACUCGUUAACAAUUUUUUUUAAUACUUUAUUUAUGUGGUUUUGGGUAGAGAAGACAUUGUUCUUGCUCCUAGAUAGAGAUAUACCUUACAUGCAACGGGUGUGCAUUUUUUUUUUUAAAUCAGCAAAUUAGAAGAGUACAAGUAAUACUCAACAAAUAUACAACCAUGAACAAUUUUUUUUUGGGGAAAGUUCA